Molecule: long non-coding RNA, 3117 nt
Organism: Panthera uncia (snow leopard)
Lineage: Eukaryota; Metazoa; Chordata; Mammalia; Carnivora; Felidae
Exons: 4
Source: RefSeq, a predicted model, not a curated record
CAUUAACAAGGCUCUUACCCUCGCUGAGGAACAGUUUGCUCAUUUCUAAAGUGGAAUCAAUGACAUUAAUUUACUGACUUAUUAUGAUGAUGUAAUAGGAUGAUAUACAUCAAGUAUCUAAAGUAGCUCUUGGCGUGAUGGAAAGAAUUCAUACUGUUUUAUCCACCAUGCAAGAUGUUUUGCAUUGGUUUUGCCAAACCUAAGGGCAUCACACCUUUUUAAGAAUCAAAUUAAUGCUAUGUAUGCUGACCUCCAUGCAUGAUGACUGUUUAUAUUCAGAUAGACUCUGCUGAAACCCUGCAGCGAUAAACUUCUACAGCCUGCUUAUUCUGUCGAUCAGUCUCCAUUUCCAAAUAUGAAAAAGGCCAGGGAAGUUUGUCCUCUUUUGAAUUCUCAGCUUCCCAGGUCAUGAAACUGUCCUUCCCCUUAUUAGAGGUGUUCCCUAAGAAGAGAGAAAUCCUAAGCUGCAACUUGAAAAAGAUGACAGUAUUCACAAGAUAGAAGAUAAGGAAGUCAACAUUUCUGGGGAGGAACUCCCCCACCUCCCCAGAUGAAGAAGAUAAGCAACCAAGAGAAAGAAAAACCUAUCACAAAGUAAGAAUGACCCCUAACAUUUAAAGGGCCUGGAGGAAGAACACAAAGGGAGGCCCACAUACUGCAAUGGCAAAAUAUUUUAACAUUACAAUUCAAACUAGGAAACUAUUGACUAAAAUGGAUUCUAUCUUCUUAUGUUGAUGGAUACAAGAACAAUGUAAUGACAAUCCAGAAGUCCAGGUGUCAAUUUAGAAUCUUUGGGCCCCUUGGAGUUCUUUGCUGGAAUUGGCAGAAGAGGGAAGCCUUACUCCAGCCUAUUCUUCCCAUCCCUGCAUUAUGAGGCUCCUAAUGUGUGUGGACACAUCUUCCUACAUUUCCAUGUUCAGUCCACAACUCAGCUCUUGGGGGUGUAGAGGCCAUUGGUAAGGUCCACCUCUGAGAAAAUGGACCCAGGAGAGAGGACUGCACAGACCCUAGAAGUGGGUUUAGGGCCACCUGGGUCAGGAAUUUGGGGGUCUAGUAUAUCUUGAGCAUGGCCUAGAAGGGGGCAGGAGUUCAAGAUCCAGUUGGGAAUGUUUCUUGGUACUUUGCACAACUGACUCAUUAAUGAGAACUAAAAUGGGACCAAGAAGUAACACAAUGAGCUCAGCAAAGCACAGGGUUAAGGCAGGGGCGGCUUCUGCCUGGAUCUAGAAACAGUAUUGCAAGGAGAAGUAUCAAAAAUGCUGUCUUACAACCCAGAGAUCCUGUUUGGGCAUCAAAGUUCCUCUUUGUUGUUUCACCAGCUUCAGGUGGCCCCAGUCAUAUCAGAGCACACGGGAGCCUUGCAUUUGGCAUAGACACAAUUUCAAGAAGCGUCCUUAAAAAGUGGUUGUUGUGGUUUUAAUGUUAAUCAUUUUAAUUUUUCAAUCAGUUAAAGAUCUUUCAAACUCUCAUGCAGUCCACAUUGUCUAUACCUACCAGGUCAUACAUGAAGAUUCAAACCGCCAUAAAACAAAGAAAAAAAUUUGAGAUUCCAUUUCAUUUCUCCACUGACAACACACAAACACACACACACAGUUGAAGUAGCUAUUUAAUACCGUCCUAUUUACAAAUUGUAUUCACCAGCAAAUUGAGUCUAAGAAGUUCCUUCUCUGCCUUCGCCUACCCGUUUGGCUACUGAGCUUGCACAAUCAGAAAACCCUCAAUCAGUUCAAAAUGGAGAGCUUCCUUCUGCAAACUCACUCUACAAAUUGCAUUAGGCUCCACAUCACAUCUCCCCUCCUUCAGCCCUAGUGGAUAGAACAAGUUUCUCUGAGAGGAUCAUUUCUGUUGACCGAACUUUAAGUUCUUUUCCCAGAUCCCUAACAUGAGUUGACUGAAUUUCUUGAAGCUUUUGUGUGUAAAGGUUGCAGAAUGUCAAUUCUCUAGUGAUGGGAUUUGGAAAAAGGAAUGAAACCCAGAGCCUUUACUCAUAGUGUACGAGGCACCUCCUUUUAUUACUAAGUAUUUCCACAACAAUAUUAGGGCUAUUUGCCAUAUUCCUUUUAUCCAAGGAUCUGACACCAUUUCUCUUUUUUCUGAGGGUGUGGUCCCAAAAUCAUACAAGUAAUAAUCAGCAGCAUUUAUUGAGAGCCUCUGAGGUUCCAAACAUCGUGCUUUGUAUUUUUUAUGAGUUGUCUUCUAACCUUAUACCAACCUUAUGAAAUGAUUAUGGUUGCUAUUAUUUUUAUGACUACUGCCGCUGUUGUUGUUUUUAUUGAUGUUAAAGUGAUAGAGAUGAGAAAGCUGAAGCUUGGAGAUGCUAAGUAACUCAUUCAAAGUCACACAGCUAGUAAGCUGCAAAACUGUGAGCUUACACCAGACAUCAUGACCAACUCCAGAGGCCUUCUACAGCAGGGCACAAAUGCCCGAUAGCAUUUGUAAAACAAAUUUCUGGGAGACACAAAGAGGAGGUGGAUAUUCUUCUGCCUCUUAGUUCCUUAACCUGGAGGGAGUUUAAAGGAGACAGAACCAAAGCGGAGUAACACAGACCAUAUUUACCCUCCCACCGGAAACAACUGAAAAUAAGGAAGAAUUUAUGAAUCUAUAUAUACAGCUUUGAAGACAUUGGACAUUAAGCAACUAAAGUGAAUGAUAUCUGAGAGACGGGAAGCAAAUGAGGCGAACCCUAAGUUUGCUCCACCUCACUCCCUUGAGUGAGUUCUUGGGCUACAGUACAGAGGAAAAACCAUUCUACUCCUAUUUACUCAAGAAAAAUAAAAACAUAUAUCCAUACAAAGACUUGCUCAUGAUGUUUAUGGCAACGGCUGUGUUCAUCAGAGCCACAAACUGGAAACAACACAAAUGUGGGAAGAAAAUGUAACAUAUCUAUACAAUGGAAUAGUACUUAGUAUAAAAAAGGAAUAGCAAUUGGUAUAUGCAACAAAGACAUAGAUUUCAAAAUAAUUAUGCUGAGUAAAAAAAAAAAACUAGACAAAGACGGGAACACAGUACGUUUAUAAUUUAUAUAAAAUUCUACAAAAUGCAAAUGAAUCUCAGGUGACAGAAAACAGGCCUGUGGUUGCUUGAGUGCAGGAAAUGAUUGCAAUGGGAGAUGAGGAA